Long non-coding RNA from Xyrauchen texanus (razorback sucker), 4753 nucleotides. RefSeq lists it as uncharacterized. The transcript is spliced from 6 exons. The record is from RefSeq and is a predicted model, not a curated record. NCBI's taxonomy places the organism in Eukaryota, Metazoa, Chordata, Actinopteri, Cypriniformes, Catostomidae.
AGUGCUUUUGCGGUCAUUCCAAACUGUUAGAGUAGAGUGACAGAACUACGAUUUCUGAUAGUACAGAGACAGGCUGGUGACAGUCUUCACCAUGGUUUGCUGUGCUGGUUUGCUGUGCUGUGCUGCAUGGGGAUGCUCCAAUCGCUCAGAGAAAGUUUCAGAUCGCGAGACUGGACAAGGGAAGAGCACGAAAGAAAGUGGUCUGUGAGGGCGCGGGAUCAAAAAGAUGCAGUCGUCAAUGCACACAACACAACCAGUACAAAAGUAAUGGAGACCAUGUCCAAAUAUUUUAAAUAUGCACCAGAGAGGAUGGGUGGUGGUGGCCGUAAGAAGACUCUUCCUUGAAGGCACCUUUUUUUUUUAUGACUUGCUAGUAGAAUGUGAAGUUCUACAAAAGACUUCUUACUUGUUCUACAAACUUUCCUUACUUGGAUUCUUUUUCACUUAAUUGUUGAGAUUUUAGACUGUUACGAAAUGAGUACAUAUGUUGGUCACAAGUUUGGAAAUGGCCACAUUUUGAACCAGACACCUUGCCUCAAACCUCGUCCACACCCACUGCAAAAUCUCCAUGUUUCACUGAAAGCCAGAUGAGAGGAGGGUCUUAUUCUGCACAGGGGUCCAAAAGAUCUAUAGAUUAAUUUCUUGGGGAAGAAGACCUUGAUUUUGAUUAAGUUUAUAAAUGUUUGUGAAAACCCACAUGUCUAAGUUUUACUUUGCUUUUAACAUUCUGCAAGUAUUCAGACAUGACAAAUAUUGUGUUGAUCAUGAUUAUAUAUAUAUACUUGUUAUUUUAUGUAAUAUAUGUUUCAGUGUAAAUUAACCCAAGUGUGUGUGCAUAUAAAACUGUUUUUUGUGCAAAUUUAGCUGACGAUGAGCCUCCAGCAGGAACAGAGUUCAACACGGAGGAUAACAGGAUGUGCUGAGACACAAUGGCAUAGAGGAGGAGGAGGAGGAGCCUGUGCUGCCAGCUUUCCUAACAAGGAGAAACCCAGGACCACAGCUCGCAAUGGUCAGGGUGUAUUCACCACUGGAAUUGAUCCAGCUCUUUUUUACAAACUCUGUUUUAGAGACCAUUAUUAAAAACAAAAACGACUAUUCAGCGAUGAUACGGUGUAUGAUUUUCAUACAUAUUUGGCCAUGAUGGAUCUACAUGGAUCUCGUGAAAGUAAAAGGUGUUGAAGACUACUAGGUAAUGAAACAACUUUAUAACUUCCCUUAUCCACAAUCUGUGAUGUCCAGGGCCAGAUUUCAAGCCAUAUCCUGGAAUCUCCAUCUCUGCGACUUGGGACAAGACCUGCAGAACACAUGUAAAAAAGGAACACCGGAGUACGACAAGCUGAACAAAAUCAAGCCACUGAACCACGAUUUGGCAGCAUGUACUACUUAUUUUCAGCCAGGCCAACAGGCAGGGCUGGACUGGAAUUGUGGCAUACCGGGCAUUUUCCCAGUGGACCAACACACUUUUUGGGCGAUCAGGGGCGGACUGGCCAUCAGGAAAACCAAACGAGCUGGUGGGUCGACCGUGAAACGGGCCUAGUGGCUAGUAUGCUAAAAUGAGCAACCGCCUUGAGCAGAACGGACCACAAAUGGCGGAAAAAGCAGAAAAGGACAGUGGUGUCAGUGGAUGAGAGGAUGGUGGCUUCAAAAGCACACAAAAGCCUCAAGCAGUUCAUAAAGGACAAGUCCACCAAGUGGGGCCAUAAACACUUUGUUGUUGCCGAUUCUGCCUGUUGGUACACCUGGAACUUACAAGGGUAAAAAUUCAGUUCCCUCAGUCAAAUGCCUUAAAUAUGUUUCAGUGAUGAGGCUGCUGGCCACUCCUUGAAUGGUUUUGUUGACAACUUUUACACUAGCCCAAGCUAUUUUGCAGACUUGCUGGACAAACACAAUGUCUUGUGUCACAAUACGUCCAAACAAUCGAGGCUUUCCGAAGACCAAAGGAAACUAUCUCAGCAAGAAGGCUGAAAGAGGAACCAUCCGUUGGCUCAAGGGAUUUUGUAAUGUGGUCAACAAUCCACAAAGCCUAUAGCAGUGAUACCAUCUCCGGGCAUGUGAAGAAUCCCAAUGGUGAAUGGAGCGUGCAUGAAGUCACGGUUCCACGAGCCAUCAAGCAAUACAACCAGCACAUGGGAGGCGUUGACCUUUCUGAUGCUCUCAUUGGUUAUAAUAACACCUUGCACAAGACAUAAAGAUGCUACUGGACGUUUUCUUCCAUUUACUGGACAUUGCUGUUGUGAACAGCUUUAUUCUCCACCAGCACCUGGCAAAGACUCAGAGCAAGACCUCUCUCAGCCAAAGAAAACUUUCUGAGAGUUGCUUGUGUCACAGCUGGUAAGUGCUGCCACACCACCUAGCACAUCUGGUGCCACAGUCAUCUUCUCGACUUGUCCGGGAUAAGGAAUGUUAUCCAGAAUUUUUGAAGCAGAUGGCACAAGUGGCAGAAGGGUAUGUUAGCUACGAAAUAGGACAUUAGAGGACUACAAAGGACAGUUCGGAGUGCUGAGAGGAUUACUGGUUGUCCCCUGCCCUCCUUUCAAGAAAUGUACACUUCCAGAGUGAGGAAAAAGGCUGGAAAAACCACUCCAGACGCCACUCACCCAGCCCACUACCUUUUUGAACUGUUGCCUUCUGGAACACCAGAACCAUCAGGAACUAUUUUUUCCCUCAGGCUGUCCAUCUCAUGAACCGUUAAAACUGCCCCUUUGAGAAAUAAUUAAUGUGCAAUUCACAGUUUAGUCUUUUUAUAUUUAUCCAACACCAUCCUGAUUUUGAUUGAUUUCAGAAUUCCCAAAGGUUUUUAAAUGCUGACCAUGUAUUUACAAGUUCUUUUUUGUGUGUCUUGUGUCAGCAGGUGGAAGUGGUCAUUAAUUUAUUGGGCAGUUCUGCUCAUGUUUCUUUCCUAUUUAGCUCUUUACAGUCUAUAUUUACACUUUGAAUCUUCAAGUGGUAACCAGUAUAUGGUGCAAGUUAUGGUACAAGUAGACCAUAACUUAUGUUGUUAUACAACAAUCAAAAUGGUUUUGUGCAAAACACAAAAACUGCUGCUCGGUCUCAUUCCUUUUCUGCAAUUUUGCCUAUUACUUGGGUUUGUCACAGAGAAAAGUUGAUGAAACCUUGAGGAAAAUCCAGAAAAGUGCUCCUGCCAUGUGUAACAUACAGUAAUACUAGAAAUGUUGGGGCAAUGUUCUUUUUUUUAACCUGUUUUUGCAAUUGGGUACUUGGAGUCUCCAAAAGGACCCUUUGCCUCUCUUUAGUUGCAGUUCAAUAGCUUCUGUUUAGAAAUUGAUAGAGGAAAAGGGAAUCAACCAAAACUUCUGAACUGAGCUUCACCAAGUAGGUUCUGAAUAACACCCUUUUAUUAUUGAAUUUUUUCUAAAAAGAAAAUCCAGAAAGUGCCUAUGUAUUGUGAGUUUUUUUUAAAUAGUAUUUUGAACCAUAAUCUACCACAAUAUUUAUUGAAUAUUCAAUGAAUACAUUUUUAAAUUGAGGGGUUAUCUUUACAAAGAGACCAAUCCUUUGCAUUUACUCCAUUGUAUGUUGGUAAUGUGAGCGUUUAAAUUUGGGUAGGGCAGAUUUAGGCAGAAAUCCAAAAAAUGGGCCAGUGAAGAGUAGGCUGAUUUCUGAUAAUUAUCAGUGUUUGCCUGUAAAUGCACUCGUUGAACCAGUAAGCAACACGAGACCAAAAUGUUUUUUUUAAACAGUGGAAUUUCUUAUUUAGUUCAGCAGUGAGUCGAGUCGGUCCGGUUAUAAACAUCCUUCUGCUGCCAGACACAUAUGUCAUCCCAUCUCAACAAAACUCUCACGAUUCCUUCCAGAAUUAGUCUGUGUAAUGUGUUUUACACAAUAGCAUAAAAAACGCAUACACAGUUGUGUAGUUGUGUAGAACAGCUGUGUAGUUAUUGAACUGGUUUCACUGGUUUAUCUUCACCAAUAACAAAAGCUAGAUAAUAUAAAAAAGGUUUCCUACAUUAUAGAGCAUAUCACAAGUGACUGGGACUCGAGUCCAAACUCAAAAGUACAAUUUUAAUGGACUUGGUCUUGUCACGGACUUGGAUGUAUUUUACUUGGACUCGAUCCUUUGGGACUGUAUUUUUUCAGAGUCUGUCCGAGUCCAUGACAUUUGUGGUGCAAGGAAAAAACAAAAUAAACAUCUCUUCUCUGCAUGCAGCUGUAUUAGCCCCUGAAGUUGUAGAUGUAGCCUAGAGUUGUUUCACUGUGUUAUAGCAAACACACGCACACUCAUCAGUCAACCAAAUGCUUGAAUGUUACUACAGAGACUACUGUAUAACAUCAACUUCUGAGGUGGCUGGCAUGAUGAAAACAUAAAGACGGGUAUGUAUCUAAUGAAAUAGAAACUAAACAAGGCAGUUUGACACAACAUGGGACCUGACAAUGGGUAAAAUUGCAUGUGGCAGGUGCUAUUGUGAUAUUUGGGUUAGUGAAAUGUUUUAUUUAUAGACUAUAAACAAACUGUAUUAUUCAAUGGCAGAGUUUGUGUAUGAAGCUAAACUUAAUGUUACAAGAUUAAUUUUUCUGGUUAUGACAAUUUUAUUUUAAAUGUUUAUUUUAUUUUUAUUGUAAACUUAUGCAUGUCUUGUUUUUUAUUUUGCCUAUAUCUCUGACACUUUUUAAGGACAAGUCUUUUAAAUGUAUGACUCAGUUAUUAUCCUCCAUGUUUUAGCGGUUAAAGAAGAGCUCAAUGAAAUUUUCUUUGUUUGGUAUUUAAAGAUUUCAGACUGAUUGCAGACCAACG